This 498-nucleotide ribosomal RNA is filed under the name uncultured bacterium. RNAcentral's name for it is "bacterial SSU rRNA". It matches the Rfam family "Bacterial small subunit ribosomal RNA", at positions 29 to 507 of the family's 1533-position model. The record is from RNAcentral.
ACGAACGCUGGCGGCGUGCCUAAUACAUGCAAGUCGAGCGGAAUGAUGAAGAAGCUUGCUUCUUCUGAUUUUAGCGGCGGACGGGUGAGUAACACGUGGGCAACCUACCUUGUAGAUUGGGAUAACUCCGGGAAACCGGGGCUAAUACCGAAUAAUCCAUUUUGCUUCAUGGCGAGAUGUUGAAAGACGGUUUCGGCUGUCACUACAAGAUGGGCCCGCGGCGCAUUAGCUAGUUGGUAGGGUAAUGGCCUACCAAGGCGACGAUGCGUAGCCGACCUGAGAGGGUGAUCGGCCACACUGGGACUGAGACACGGCCCAGACUCCUACGGGAGGCAGCAGUAGGGAAUCUUCCACAAUGGCGAAAGUCUGAUGGAGCAACGCCGCGUGAGUGAAGAAGGUUUUCGGAUCGUAAAACUCUGUUGUAAGGGAAGAACACGUACGAGAGUAACUGCUCGUACCUUGACGGUACCUUAUUAGAAAGCCACGGCUAACUACGUG